AUAUUUCAGUCCUUUGUAGUAUCAAACCAUUAAAUUUAGUCCCUUCUGGUGGGUUAUGAUCUGUUUUUGAAGACAUUGGGGUAAUGAAGUGAAUGUUGUAGAGAAUAGGUGGUGGUAGAAAGAGAAAGCAGCGUUUGAUCAAAAUCCGCACCCUCUCAUUUAGGAUACCAGCUUUCAAUGGUGAGCGUUCACAAAUUGGAGGGCCUGGCUUUUCAUGUUUUGACCAUGGAUUUUUAGAAUUUCAGGUUGGGGCAUUACCUGCAAGCCCUGUGCUUUCUGAAUUGUUUUUAGAACUUAAAUGAGGAUACAGCUUUCUCAGGAUCUGCUGAUAAAAAAGGAAGUUUAACAUGUCAAUCCCAUGUAAUCGUGACCAGGUCUUGUUUAUAUGAUUUGAGUACAAGGUGGAUUUAU
This 411-nucleotide long non-coding RNA is filed under the name Actinidia chinensis (golden kiwifruit). RNAcentral's name for it is "long non-coding RNA (ACHI_LNC005847)". Lineage: Eukaryota; Viridiplantae; Streptophyta; Magnoliopsida; Ericales; Actinidiaceae. The record is from RNAcentral.